GACGAACGCUGGCGGCGUGCUUAACACAUGCAAGUCGAACGGGUCUGCCCUGUUUUUUGCGGGGUGGGUCAGUGGCGAACGGGUGAGUAACACGUGAGUAACCUGCCCCUCACUUCUGGAUAACCGCUUGAAAGGGUGGCUAAUACGGGGUGUUCUGGCUGUGCCGCAUGGUGUGGCUGGGAAAGAUUCACUUUUGUGGUGUUUUGGUGGGGGAUGGGCUCGCGGCCUAUCAGCUUGUUGGUGGGGUGAUGGCCUGCCAAGGCUUUGACGGGUAGCCGGCCUGAGAGGGUGGGCGGUCACACUGGGACUGAGAUACGGCCCAGACUCCUGCGGGAGGCAGCAGUGGGGGGUAUUGCACAAUGGGCGGAAGCCUGAUGCAGCGACGUCGCGUGAGGGAUGGAGGCCUUCGGGUUGUGAACCUCUUUCGCCGGUGAAGAAGGUCCUGCUCUUUGUGGUGGGGUUGACGGUAGCCGGGUUAUGAAGCGCUGGCUAACUACGUG
RNAcentral lists this ribosomal RNA (500 nucleotides) under uncultured bacterium. RNAcentral's name for it is "partial 16S ribosomal RNA". It matches the Rfam family "Bacterial small subunit ribosomal RNA", at positions 28 to 507 of the family's 1533-position model. The record is from RNAcentral.